AUGAGCAACUUUAACAAAUAUUCAUAUCAGUCAGACAUCCAGUUUGGGAUAUUACCGUACAAAACCAGCUGGAGCCCGGAUACCAGUUAUAAAUCUACCAGACAAACUGUGAUCCAAUUGAACAGAAUUAACUACAUUUCUUUCUUUCUUUGGAACAGAAUUAACUGCAUUUCUACUGUAAUCAUCAAAGAUGACGAAAUCCUCCAGGUAACCUGA
Molecule: long non-coding RNA, 216 nt
Filed under: Prunus dulcis (almond)
Lineage: Eukaryota; Viridiplantae; Streptophyta; Magnoliopsida; Rosales; Rosaceae
Description: sRNA ncRNA
Source: RNAcentral